AGAGUUUGAUCCUGGCUCAGGACGAACGCUGGCGGCGUGCCUAACACAUGCAAGUCGAACGGGGAUACGUUUUCGGAUGUAUUCUAGUGGCGCACGGGUGAGUAACGCGUGAGCGACCUGACCCAAAGAGGGGGAUAACAUCGAGAAAUCGAUGCUAAUACCGCAUAAGACCACGGUAUCGCAUGGUACAGAGGUCAAAGGAGCAAUCCGCUUUGGGAGGGGCUCGCGUCCCAUUAGAUAGUAGGCGGGGUAACGGCCCACCUAGUCAACGAUGGGUAGCCGAGCUGAGAGGCUGAUCGGCCACACUGGAACUGAGACACGGUCCAGACUCCUACGGGAGGCAGCAGUGGGGAAUAUUGGGCAAUGGGCGAAAGCCUGACCCAGCAACGCCGCGUGAGGGAAGAAGGUUUUCGGAUUGUAAACCUCUGUCGCAGAUGACGAAGGAAGUGACGGUAAUCUGUGAGGAAGCCCCGGCUAACUACGUGCCAGCAGCCGCGGUAAUACGUAGGGGGCGAGCGUUGUCCGGAAUUACUGGGCGUAAAGGGUGCGUAGGCGGUUAAUUAAGUUGGAUGUGAAAUACCCGGGCUUAACCUGGGGGGUGCAUUCAAAACUGGUUAACUAGAGUUCAGGAGAGGGAAGCGGAAUUCCUAGUGUAGCGGUGAAAUGCGUAGAUAUUAGGAGGAACACCAGUGGCGAAGGCGGCUUUCUGGACUGACACUGACGCUGAGGCACGAAAGCGUGGGGAGCAAACAGGAUUAGAUACCCUGGUAGUC
RNAcentral lists this ribosomal RNA (773 nucleotides) under uncultured bacterium. RNAcentral's name for it is "bacterial SSU rRNA". It matches the Rfam family "Bacterial small subunit ribosomal RNA", at positions 8 to 795 of the family's 1533-position model. The record is from RNAcentral.